AUUCACUUGAAAAAUCACGUAGAAUGGUUUCAAAUGUCAAAUUGAAUAUUUUACGUGACGAAAAUGAAUGUUAUACGAACAUCCCCUAAAAUGAAUAGAGUCAUCACAUAAAGUUUACGUGAAUUGACCAAACGUCAAACAAUCUACGUGAAUUUCCAGUGUGAAAAAUUCGAUUUUGAAAAUGGCGAGCAGUGGCCCUCGAAGUUAUGAAAGUUUCCAUGUGUUCAACUGGACCGAGUGCCUGCGUGAGUCCGGAAGUUUACCCGCUCCUGCCGAAUGCUUCAAACAGGCCGUCGGUAUGCAGCUAGAGACACUGGAACCAUGUAAUGCGACUUCAACCUGCAUCGGUAGUGUUGUGGGAGUUCUUGGAUCUCGACUUCGGUUGGAUGGCAGUGAAAACAUAAACGAUUUCUGGAGGCUUGUCGAUUUAAGAUACCACGACGUUAUUAGUUGCUUUUUAAGCUAUUGGAAUUAUAUGACAAUUUUCUGAAAUAAAUGUUUUAUAUUUCA
Long non-coding RNA from Malaya genurostris, 510 nucleotides. RefSeq lists it as uncharacterized. The transcript has 2 exons. Lineage: Eukaryota; Metazoa; Arthropoda; Insecta; Diptera; Culicidae. The record is from RefSeq and is a predicted model, not a curated record.